This 497-nucleotide ribosomal RNA is filed under the name uncultured bacterium. RNAcentral's name for it is "partial 16S ribosomal RNA". It matches the Rfam family "Bacterial small subunit ribosomal RNA", at positions 28 to 507 of the family's 1533-position model. The record is from RNAcentral.
GAUGAACGCUGGCGGCGUGCCUAAUACAUGCAAGUCGAGCGAACAGACGAGGAGCUUGCUCCUCUGACGUUAGCGGCGGACGGGUGAGUAACACGUGGAUAACCUACCUAUAAGACUGGGAUAACUUCGGGAAACCGGAGCUAAUACCGGAUAAUAUAUUGAACCGCAUGGUUCAAUAGUGAAAGACGGUUUUGCUGUCACUUAUAGAUGGAUCCGCGCCGCAUUAGCUAGUUGGUAAGGUAACGGCUUACCAAGGCGACGAUGCGUAGCCGACCUGAGAGGGGGUGCGCCAACAUGAGAACGAAGCCCGGGCCCGACCCCCUAGGGGGGGAAGAAGAAGGGAAUCUUCCGCAAGGGGGGAAACCCUGCCGGAGCACCGCCGGGGGGGGAAUGAAGUUCUUCGGAUCGAAAAACUGUUUUUUUAGGGAAAAAAAAAUGUGUAAGUAACUAUGCACGUCUGGAGGGUACCUAAUAAAAAAGCCACGGCAAACUACGGG